Etheostoma spectabile (orangethroat darter) is the source of this 82-nucleotide long non-coding RNA. RefSeq lists it as uncharacterized. The record is from RefSeq and is a predicted model, not a curated record. The transcript has 3 exons. NCBI's taxonomy places the organism in Eukaryota, Metazoa, Chordata, Actinopteri, Perciformes, Percidae.
CGGAGUAGGUAUAGUUGGUGCGGUUGGAGGUCGGAUUAAGUUCUCACCACAAAACGAACCACUCCAGAGUUGGAUUGAAAGC